AACGAACGCUGGCGGCAUGCCUAAUACAUGCAAGUCGAACGAGAUCUUCGGAUCUAGUGGCGCACGGGUGCGUAACGCGUGGGAAUCUGCCCUUGGGUUCGGAAUAACUUCUGGAAACGGAAGCUAAUACCGGAUGAUGACGUAAGUCCAAAGAUUUAUCGCCCAAGGAUGAGCCCGCGUAGGAUUAGCUAGUUGGUGGGGUAAAAGCCCACCAAGGCGACGAUCCUUAGCUGGUCUGAGAGGAUGAUCAGCCACACUGGGACUGAGACACGGCCCAGACUCCUACGGGAGGCAGCAGUAGGGAAUAUUGGACAAUGGGCGAAAGCCUGAUCCAGCAAUGCCGCGUGAGUGAUGAAGGCCUUAGGGUUGUAAAGCUCUUUUACCCGGGAUGAUAAUGACAGUACCGGGAGAAUAAGCUCCGGCUAACUCCGUG
Molecule: ribosomal RNA, 433 nt
Filed under: uncultured bacterium
Lineage: Bacteria
Description: partial 16S ribosomal RNA
Rfam family: Bacterial small subunit ribosomal RNA
Source: RNAcentral